CCAUCCAGACCGUGACGUCCUGACGGCUGACCUUCUUCCUCACAAUUAUAGAUAGAGUUGUGUUUCCUGGGUCCUCCUUUCUGCCAGCUCGCUGAUGGAGAGAAGUGACCAGAGAAGGCUUGGGGAGAGGGAGAGGGAAGAGACACAGCGAGAUGAAACAAAAGAAGAAAUAUACGAGAGGUUUCCAGGCUUGUUAUCCUGGUGGGCUCUGACAUGGCUACCUUUGGCCGGCCUCCGCCAGGGUUCAUGCAGGACUGGCCAUAGUGUGUUCUGCCAGGAGCAAUGCUGCACUGGAGGGGUCAGACCGGGCAACAGCUUGAGUGAGCAGCAGCAGCAACAACUGCAGGAGCAACUGCAACUGCAGCAGCAACAGCAACAGCAGCAACAGCAGCAGCAGCAGCAGCAGCAGCAGCAGCAGCAGCAGCAGUCUGUCUCAGAUGUAGGGAGGUGCAGUGAGGGUGGCAAGAUUGACCUGGAGGCAGGUAUCUCUUUUUACAGAGAAGAGAAGAAGUUUGGGUGUAAGCAGUGCGAUAAAACUUUCAGAUCCAAAGAAGGGCUUAGGCGACACACUGUGACACACAGUGGUGUUUCAAAUUAUGAGUGUCUGGAAUGUGGAAAAACAUUUACUCAGAAGAGUAAUCUUGACACACACACUCUGACACACAGUGGUGUUAGAAAUUUUCAGUGUUUGGAAUGUGAAAAGAAAUUUUUCACAAAGUCUGAUCUCAACAAGCAUGCCCUGACACACAGUGGUGUUAGAAAUUAUGAGUGCUUGGAAUGUGGAAAGAAAUUUUCCAGAAAGGGUGAUCUCACCAAACACAUCCAGACGCACAAUGUUGAUAGAAAUUUUGAGUGUCCAGAAUGUGGAAAGAAAUUUAUCACAAAAGCUUGUCUCACUACACAUGCUGUGACACACAGUGGUGUUAGAAAUCAUGAGUGUCAGGAAUGUGGAAAAAAAUUUACCACAAAGGUGCACCUCGCCAGGCACUCAUUGACACACAGUGGUAUUAGAAAUCAUGAGUGUCAGGUAUGUGGAAAGAAAUUUACCACAAAGUGUCACCUCACCACACACACCCUGACACACAGUGACGUUAGAAAUUAUGAGUGUGAAGAGUGUGGUAAAAGAUUUACUACCCGUUCUGAGCUCAAUAGACACGCUGUCAGACACACUGGCUUGAGGGAGUUCAAGUGUGAUGUUUGUGGGAAGUUUUUCAAGACAAAGGGUGACGUUACAGGCCACAUGAAGAUCCACUUUUGAGGUGGCAUCUGUGGACCAGUGGGGCCACACUCAGGACUAGAAGUGUGUGGCAGUGGUGGUGGUGCUGGUGAGUCUUGUGUAAUGUCCUUUUUUAUUUAUUUAUUUAUUUAUUCUGUUUUAGUUUUUUAAUGUAGGAAAGGCUUCAACAAGGGCAACAAAAUUGCAAUGUUGAAUAAAACACUGUGAAGUCCCAGGCACUUACUGAGUUAAAAGCAUCAGCCAUAGCAGAAUACAAGUGUCUUCAAACGUCCCUCUUGAAUGAGUUCAAAAUAUGGGAAGGUGGAAACACAAAAGUAGGCAGGAAGUGCCAGAGUGUACAUCCAUUAUAGCGGUUAAAUCUUGCAUUAGAGAGGCAGACAGAGUAGUGGUGAGUGGCAUAGUGAGGCUGGGGGAGGAGGGGAGGCAUGCAGUUAGCAAGAUCAGAGGAGCAGGUGGCAUGAAAAUAGUGGUAGAUGAUAGCAAGAGAUGGAAUAUUACAGCAUUGAGGAAGGCUGAGGACUCAGAGCUGAUACAGUGAAAAGCUUUUGAUUCUUCCCUCUCUGAAAGUGCCAUUUGAGUGAAGCACCCUUAUAGACACGAGGCACACCCAACACAUGGACGGGUGUGGCCCCAGGACAGUGGUAGCAGUUGGAGGGUGUGAGAAAUUUGGCAAAGACAACUAAGAACACCUGACUGUUUGGUGGCAGCAGUGUCCUUGUGUGUGUGUGUGUGUGUGUGUGUGUGUGUGUGUGACAUGAAUACACUCAACCCUUUUUAAUUUGGACCAUGUUUAUCUGGACUUCAAUUUAUCCGGAAAAUCCAACAAAUGAAUUUAAUCAAUACACGCCUCACAUACCGCCAGGAACAGCCAAUGGACAGCGGCAGGCAGUUCUAAACAAGUCCGGCCAAUACAUGUGAACUCAGCGCUCUGUCUGGAUUCAGUGAACAAUCUCCCACCACACUUGAGGUUUUGUAUCGCUGCACACUGGAGCUUUACCGCCUACCUGCAAAGAAACACAAGAAAAGACAUUGCUUGCAGGUGAAGCAUGAUACAAGAUGUGCUUUAUUUACAACUGCCCUCCAAACAGACACUUGUUAAAAAGCCAUCCCAACCAUCACAUCAGCCACAACACUGGUGACUGAUGUAUUUACAGGCCACAUUACAUAACUGUUUGUUUUGUGUUAUGACUGUGAAACUAAUUUUAAUCUUGACUUAUGUACAGGAAAUGCAAGCUGGUACUUCCCUUCAUGUUUAAGAAAGUGGCAGAACAAAUAAAGUGUAU
RNAcentral lists this unclassified non-coding RNA (2520 nucleotides) under Portunus trituberculatus (swimming crab). RNAcentral's name for it is "zinc finger protein OZF-like, transcript variant X1". The record is from RNAcentral. Lineage: Eukaryota; Metazoa; Arthropoda; Malacostraca; Decapoda; Portunidae.